GGAUAUUAAUUUUCUAUUUAUUCAUAAUUCAUUUUCAAGGGCUCCUUAAAAUGACUUAUCAUAUGUCAUAUAUUGCCACUUUUCCUACAGAAUUCCUUUCUGAGAAAUAAAAACUAGAAAAUCCAGAGGGAUCCACAGUAAAAGGGUUGUGGAGUACCAUUUAUCAGAAGGAAGAAAGCUAAAUAAUAGCCCAAUAAUAUAAAACUAUAUCAAGAGUAAUUAGUGGAAUCUUAUUCUCUAAUCUGUUUAUAUCCAUACGCUUAGCACCAAAGAAAAUUUAUAGUAUAAAAGACUAUAAUUUAAUAGAAAUUUGAGUAUUAAAUUUUUUAUUUUGACUUAAUAUUUAAUUUGUUAGUAAGAUGAUAGC
RNAcentral lists this long non-coding RNA (367 nucleotides) under Ricinus communis (castor bean). RNAcentral describes it as "long non-coding RNA (RCOM_LNC003250)". Lineage: Eukaryota; Viridiplantae; Streptophyta; Magnoliopsida; Malpighiales; Euphorbiaceae. The record is from RNAcentral.